AUGUUUGAAUCAAAAAUGAAAGAAAGAAAAUCAAAGAAUUUUGGGACCAAAAUCAAGAGCCAGGCCAUCAUCAUCGCGAAACUCCGACACUUCAGCCACACAACCUCUGCGCUGCAGAUCCGCUCUGCACCACGACGCUGCUCUAAAAUCGCACUCACCGACGAAUCCGCCGUAGAAGAAACCCGCCAAUAA
Vicia faba (fava bean) is the source of this 192-nucleotide non-coding RNA. The record is from the annotation of a GenBank genome assembly. Lineage: Eukaryota; Viridiplantae; Streptophyta; Magnoliopsida; Fabales; Fabaceae.